Molecule: ribosomal RNA, 490 nt
Filed under: uncultured bacterium
Lineage: Bacteria
Description: partial 16S ribosomal RNA
Rfam family: Bacterial small subunit ribosomal RNA
Source: RNAcentral
AUUGAACGCUGGCGGCAUGCCUUACACAUGCCAGUCGAACGGCAGCAUGAUCUAGCUUGCUAGAUUGAUGGCGAGUGGCGAACGGGUGAGUAAUACAUCGGAACGUGCCCUGUCGUGGGGGAUUACUAGUCGAAAGAUUAGCUAAUACCGCAUACGACCUGAGGGUGAAAGUGGGGGACCGCAAGGCCUCAUGCUCUAGGACCGGCCGAUGUCUGAUUAGCUAGUUGGUGAGGUAAAGGCUCACCAAGGCGACGAUCAGUAGCUGGUCUGAGAGGACGAUCAGCCACACUGGGACUGGGACACGGCCCAGACUCCUACGGGAGGCAGCAGUGGGGAAUUUUGGACAAUGGGCGAAAGCCUGAUCCAGCAAUGCCGCGUGUGUGAAGAAGGCCUUCGGGUUGUAAAGCACUUUUGUCCGGAAAGAAAUGGCUCUGGUUAAUACCUGGGGUCGAUGACGGUACCGGAAGAAUAAGGACCGGCUAACUACGUG